GUAAAAUUUUUGUUUUUAUGUUUAAUUAAUGUAUUUUAUGUUUAAUUAUUAUUUUAAUGUAAAUUUAUUGUAUUUUUAUGUUAAGUUAUGGAUUAAUUAAUGUAUAAAUUAAUGUAUUUUAUGUUAAAUUAAUGUAUUUUUUGUUUAUUUAUAUUUCACUAAAAUAAAUAUUUUUUUUUCCUAAGGAUUUUAAGUUAAGGAUCACCAUUGUAGACACUUUUUUAACAAGAGUCCUUAACUAUUCAAAAAAAAAAAAAUUUAUUACUUUAAUAAUCCUAUGGACUCCACAAUGGGUGCCACCAUUGUGGAUGCUCUUAUAGCUAUUCUCGGUCGAAAAACCUUAGCCGUCAAAGUGAGCAAAAGGGAUUGGUCUUUUAUGCUUUCCCCGGUGUCAUGCACUAGUUUACAAGAACGAAAAGAAUUUGAUUUAAGAACUUGCAUAUUUGAGAGUUGUAGAUUUUAGUCUCAUUGGAUCUAUACUGGACAUGGAGCCCAAAGGUUGUUUUAGAGUUUCUGGUCGAAAGACUAUGCAUGUGUUUUCUGCAGCUUUUGAACACAAUUAUGGCUUUUCGGAUUGAACGGUGCGGGAUAAGUGGUUCAACUUGCGGUGCGGUUUUAACAGUUAUAAAAACGUAUAGAUAUAUAGUAUAUGUAGAGAUUUUUGUUAUUGUUAACUGCGGUGCGGAGCGGGACGGUUCGUAAAAUUCGGAGCCUAUGUUUCGUUUUUACUUUAAUUCAUAACUAAUUUUAUGUAAAGACAAUUUUAUGUGUCUUUGCUUGUUUUUAUAGAUUUACUUGUAUGAUCUAUACUUCAACUACAUACAAUCAAUAACGCAAGUUAAAAAAAACGAAGCUUACCUUAUAUAGACAUAUACAAUUACUUUAAUAGCAUGUAAUAUUGUGAUUAUAACUUUUACAUUUUUAAUAUCUAUAGAUUAAAAAUUAUAAUCUAUUUUAGUCCAUUCACCCCGUGCGGAUUAUCACCUAGUAAAAAGAACAUUUUACAUGUAUAAGAGAGUAAAUACUAUGUCAUGUUCAAACGUAAUUAGGCAAAAAAUCAUUCAGUGUAUUUUUGGUAAACAUAUUUUUAAAGCCAGAUUUAAUGGCAGAUUGGUCAACAUAUGCUUAAAUGAAGAUUAUGUUCCUUUUAAAACUCUGACCAGUAAAAAUACAUUUCACAUUACAUAUUUGUCUUCUUCUUUUUUGACUAAAACGUUAUGUAAAGGUCUCACUAUCUCACUAUAUAUAUAAAAUACAAUACAAACAAAGAAGACAAAACAGAACAAAAAAGUUAGGAGAUUAUUAUAAAAAUGACUACCACCUUAAAAAGUUUAGUCGCAUUUCUUUUCACUGCCCUUUUCAUCUUAUCUUCCGUUCAUUGUCGACCGACUGCUACAAAUAUUCCAGGUUAUGAAGUAAAGCAGAUGGAUAAACAAUGUUUCGAUGAAGAAAUAUGUAAUCGUGGAGGAGCAGGCGCCUGCCAUUUUUGGUGUAGAGAUCAUGGUUAUUACUAUGCCAUAUGUACUACUGAUGCAUGUUGUUGUCAGAUUUAUUAAAUACUUAGUUAAUAUGUCCAAAAUAAAACAAUUUAAAUAAAAUUGUAACGACUCUGAUUUUUGGUCGAGCCUUUUUGGCCUUUAUUAAAAACUAGGUAAUAACCCGUGCCUUGCACGGAGUGAAGAGACGUAAAUAAAUUAUAAUUUUGAAUCGAUAGGUAUUAGAAAAGUGAAAUUCAAAGAAAAAUAGUACAUUUUAUGUAAUAAGGGAUUCAUUGAAAUUACCUAUGUCUAUAUAAAGCAAAAGUUAAUU
This is a long non-coding RNA of Brassica rapa (field mustard), 1809 nucleotides long. RefSeq lists it as uncharacterized. Lineage: Eukaryota; Viridiplantae; Streptophyta; Magnoliopsida; Brassicales; Brassicaceae. The record is from RefSeq and is a predicted model, not a curated record.